Molecule: ribosomal RNA, 505 nt
Filed under: uncultured bacterium
Lineage: Bacteria
Description: partial 16S ribosomal RNA
Rfam family: Bacterial small subunit ribosomal RNA
Source: RNAcentral
GACGAACGCUGGCGGCGUGCCUAAUACAUGCAAGUCGAACGCACAGUUUAUACCGUAGCUUGCUACACCAUAGACUGUGAGUUGCGAACGGGUGAGUAACGCGUAGGUAACCUGCCUGGUAGCGGGGGAUAACUAUUGGAAACGAUAGCUAAUACCGCAUAAUAUUAAUUAUUGCAUGAUAAUUAAUUGAAAGGUGCAAUUGGACCACUACCAGAUGGGCCUGCGUUGUAUUAGCUAGUAGGGGAGGUAACGGCUCACCUAGGCGACGAUACAUAGCCGACCGGGGAGGGUGAUCGGCCACACUGGGACUGAGACACGGCCCAGACUCCUACGGGAGGCAGCAGUAGGGAAUCUUCGGAAAUGGGCGAAAGUCUGACCGAACAACGCCGCGGGAGUGAAGAAGGUUUUCGGAGCGUAAAGCUCUGUUGUAAGAGAGGAACGGGUGUGAGAGUGGAAAGUUCACACUGUGACGGUAGCUUACCAGAAAGGGACGGCUAACUACGUG